CCCCACAGAAAGAAACUGGCUACUGAGCGAAUGAUCUUGCUAUACCAAAGAAGUUGACCUCAUGUCCAUGGAGCAUCCCUUGAGAACACCCACCAGAGCUUCCGAUCAAGCCGUGAUCAUACCUGCUUACACCCUGGGAGCAUCCGCACUUCGAUUCUGCUCACAUUUUCACAGCACAGGAUAGACAUGGCGACGUCCGACGUUCCUGUGGGACCCGAUCACAGGCUACUAUUUCUGCCGGUGCAAGGGCAAAUCAACUAGACAUCAAUGAACCACACAGGACAGGCCACAAACCGGUGGCAUGAGUAGCAUCGAAAGGUAGCUGAGGCUUUCAGAACAGCCAUUGCGCAGACUACCUCCAGUCAGGUAUCUAAUAUAUGUAUAAGCAACUUCGCAGCCAACCAACUAGUUAACUAGGGGGUAGCGAGGAGCCAGAAGCUUGAUUGAAUGAAACG
This 455-nucleotide small RNA is filed under the name Histoplasma capsulatum var. duboisii H88. RNAcentral describes it as "Histoplasma capsulatum H88 hypothetical RNA". Lineage: Eukaryota; Fungi; Ascomycota; Eurotiomycetes; Onygenales; Ajellomycetaceae. The record is from RNAcentral.